CGGAACCAAGAGAUCCGUUGUUGAAAGUUUUAACUGAUUACGAUAAUCAACUCAGACUGCAUACUUUCAGAACAGCGUUCAUGUUGGGGUCUUCGGCGGGCGCGGGCCCGGGGGCGCAAGGCCUCCCCGGCGGCCGUCGAAACGGCGGGCCCGCCGAAGCAACAAGGUACGAUAGACACGGGUGGGAGGUUGGACCCAGAGGGCCCUCACUCGGUAAUGAUCCUU
RNAcentral lists this unclassified non-coding RNA (225 nucleotides) under uncultured Aspergillus. RNAcentral describes it as "sequence contains ITS1". The record is from RNAcentral. Lineage: Eukaryota; Fungi; Ascomycota; Eurotiomycetes; Eurotiales; Aspergillaceae.